Molecule: ribosomal RNA, 468 nt
Filed under: uncultured bacterium
Lineage: Bacteria
Description: partial 16S ribosomal RNA
Rfam family: Bacterial small subunit ribosomal RNA
Source: RNAcentral
GACGAACGCUGGCGGCGUGCUUAACACAUGCAAGUCGAACGGAAAGGCCCUGCUUUUGUGGGGUGCUCGAGUGGCGAACGGGUGAGUAACACGUGAGUAACCUGCCCUUGACUUUGGGAUAACUUCAGGAAACUGGGGCUAAUACCGGAUAGGAGCUCCUGCUGCAUGGUGGGGGUUGGAAAGUUUCGGCGGUUGGGGAUGGACUCGCGGCUUAUCAGCUUGUUGGUGGGGUAGUGGCUUACCAAGGCUUUGACGGGUAGCCGGCCUGAGAGGGUGACCGGCCACAUUGGGACUGAGAUGAGGCCCAGACUCCUACGGGAGGCAGCAGUGGGGAAUAUUGCACAAUGGGCGGAAGCCUGAUGCAGCAACGCCGCGUGCGGGAUGACGGCCUUCGGGUUGUAAACCGCUUUCGCCUGUGACGAAGCGUGAGUGACGGUAAUGGGUAAAGAAGCACCGGCUAACUACGUG